UGGAGUGUAGCUCAGUGGUAGAACAAUUGUAUAGUACACAUGAGGCCAUGGGUUCCAUCCCCAGCACUGCAA
This 72-nucleotide transfer RNA is filed under the name Ictidomys tridecemlineatus (thirteen-lined ground squirrel). RNAcentral's name for it is "Spermophilus tridecemlineatus (thirteen-lined ground squirrel) tRNA". It matches the Rfam family "tRNA". Rfam says of the family: Transfer RNA (tRNA) molecules are approximately 80 nucleotides in length. Their secondary structure includes four short double-helical elements and three loops (D, anti-codon, and T loops). Further hydrogen bonds mediate the characteristic L-shaped molecular structure. tRNAs have two regions of fundamental functional importance: the anti-codon, which is responsible for specific mRNA codon recognition, and the 3' end, to which the tRNAs corresponding amino acid is attached (by aminoacyl-tRNA synthetases). tRNAs cope with the degeneracy of the genetic code in two manners: having more than one tRNA (with a specific anti-codon) for a particular amino acid; and 'wobble' base-pairing, i.e. permitting non-standard base-pairing at the 3rd anti-codon position. The record is from Rfam by way of RNAcentral. Lineage: Eukaryota; Metazoa; Chordata; Mammalia; Rodentia; Sciuridae.